Molecule: transfer RNA, 79 nt
Filed under: Phedimus aizoon
Lineage: Eukaryota; Viridiplantae; Streptophyta; Magnoliopsida; Saxifragales; Crassulaceae
Description: tRNA-His
Rfam family: tRNA (bases 9-79)
About the family: Transfer RNA (tRNA) molecules are approximately 80 nucleotides in length. Their secondary structure includes four short double-helical elements and three loops (D, anti-codon, and T loops).
Source: RNAcentral
GAAUAGGGGCGGAUGUAGCCAAGUGGAUCAAGGCAGUGGAUUGUGAAUCCACCAUGCGCGGGUUCAAUUCCCGUCGUUC